CACAACUACUGGACCCACCACUACCACUGGAGCCGCCGCCGCCGACCAACACCAUGAGAAGAAGGGCAUUCUCGAGAAGAUCAAGGAGAAACUCCCCGGCCACCACAACCACCACCCGUGAAGACUGAAGUUGUUUUUCGAUUUCAUGAAUAAAUCGCUUGCUACCAAUGUAGAUAGUUUUUUUAAAUCAAUUAUGAAUGUCGUCUAGUAAAAGUCUGCUUGAUUUCUGGUUCAUUAGUGGUUUCCAGUUUGUGAACUUGUAUCAUGUUGCUGCUUUCAUUUAUAAGAAAAAGAUUGUAUGUUUUGUUAGCAUUUUUGUCCAGCGACCAGAAAUAAUAUUCAACAACUUGGUUAAGCAAAAAACGUUAAUCAUGCCGUUAUGCACCUACUUUUCUCGACUUGGUUCGUGCUCUUAGAGAUAUUAAGCUAGUUAAUGGGAUCUCGUUAGAUUUCUAGUCCUGCUUCUUCCCCUCCUUGUCUUGACAUAGGGGAAACAUAGUACUUUGGUCUCAAUUUUUUUUUUAAUAAAGUUAAUUUGACAAUUUACGCAAAAAUGAAACAUUCGCUCAUUAUGAUAAAUAUACUAAUAAUUAUACUUCUAUCUCUAUUCUCUACUAUUAGAUUCUUUUUCAAAACCUUUCAUGGUUCUUCACUUCUUCUCUUGGCCCGCCCCUCUCCUUUGUUUCAGAGGUUUGCCAUUGGUGGUGUUCCAAGUACCAACCGCUGAAUGCAAAUGAGCCGAUGACAUUCCCAUUGAUUGUGGGGCCAAGUCGUCAGCCAAAGAGACCUUGAAGAGUCUUUAAAAGUAACUGGUUGUGGAUAAACAAAUGCAUGUGUAACUAAAUACUUCGCUAUGCAUUUACUACUCACCUUCCCAUGUUGUAGGUUGUUGAUAGGUUACACAUUUCCAAGUUUUUGUCAAAGCGUAAGUGAAGCAAUCCCUCCUCUAAUGCCUUGUAUUAGAGGAGAUGUAUGAUGACCACAUAUAAGAGAUGAAUUGAAAAAGUAGUUGAGAAUUAAAAUACAAGGGCGCUCUUACAGUUAGUGAAAACUGAAAAUAUUACAGAAACUAUGAAAGCAAAGUUGCUUUCGCUUGAGUUUGCUGAGCUCCCUCCUUCAAAGGAUCCUAAAUAAAUACUUUUAACCAUCUGAGUAAUUCUUUCCCCCCAUCAAAGAAUCCCCUAAUCCGUACAUGUAAUUCUCGUGACACAAGAAGCUCAGAAAGUACAAAGUUAGAAAGAACAAAGAGUAAUGAUUCAGACAUCAGAGCUUUUAGGAAAAGCCUAUUCAACUCUUUUCUUCUUCUUGCUGACCAUCACGGGAUUUUCAAUCUCCAUGAUCUCAUCAUCAUCACUCUCGACGUUCUCUGUUUCUUUCUUAUCAUUCUCGGGCUGAGUCUCAGAGAGUCUUCUCUUCUUAGAAGCCAUCUCCGGUCCUGAGGAACUCUCUGUGACAUCAACAGCCUUCUCAUUCUCAUUGUUUGAUGUUGAUGCGCUCUCGCCGUUGGUAGCUGGAGAUUGUGUCCAUCCAGAGAGAACCAUUCCUUCAGGUUCUUUUUCCUCGUCAAAUUCUUCCCUGUGACAGUACAGAAUAAGCAGCAGAUGAUGCAUCAAUCGACUGACAUGGAACGAUGGAAAGACUACUACAAAGCUUUCAGUACUACAUUUUUGAGAAUAAUAGGAUGAUGUCUGAUUAAAACCCAUCUCAGAUAACUAAAGCAGUAUUCAAAAGGUAUAAGAAAGAACCUGUGCUUGACAUUAAUCUUGCAAGAUAGCUCUUGCUGAAGAUCUUCCACAGUGAGAAUGCUUCCAUUGAUAACAGGAGAAGGAAGUUCUGACAAAGACUGAAAUAGAAACACAAACAUGUAAGAAAAAAUCCCAUCCCUGUAUUUGAAGAGUAAAUUCUAGAUCCAACCUUUUCAAGGUUAGCAUUGUAGUUUGCAACCAUAAUAUCAUCAAGAUCAUCACCGACUUCGUACAGAAGUGAAGCCCCAUGCAUAAUCAGUGGUAGGUUCAUUCCAAGCUUGGCUGUGACAAUUUUAUCAACCAGAUCCCGUAGUUUCGAUUUCUGAGUAUUGACCUCAAGUACUAAUGGGGUCUGUCAAUAUAAAAGGAGAAAAACCAGAUGAUUGGUUUAUGCAAGAAAACUAUAAGAUAAAAAGAAGUAAUGCUUAUACCUUGGAACAGACAUAGCAAGCAGGAUUAGGUUCAAAUGGCUCCACUGGCAUAAGAAGCAUCUUUCUGCUUGGGUGCUCUAAGCAAUAUGUCAUUCUACAGAGAGACGUCAAACAUAAAAAUGAUAUAUAUUAAGGACUCUGAAGCUUAUGAAAAUUCAAAGUAACAAACCUGUACUUAUCCGCAUCCUUUUUCAGCACUUUGAUUGCUUCGAUAACAAUCAAACCAGCAACAAUGGCGUUAGUUGUAGCAACGGCAUGAACAAUGUUCCCAGCGAUACCUUUGGCUUCAAAAAGACUAUGCAAAGGAAUUCCAAAAGACUCAGCGCGGAUAUUUGCAGCAGCAGUGACAAAUUCUACAGCUAACUGGUCAUCUUUGUCAAAAGUAAGGUGUCCUAUUUCCUGUGGCAGCAUAUAGAAAAAACCAUAAACUAAUCAGCACACUUUAAACUUUUAUAUAUACGGAGAGAGUUCACAGAAACGACUACACAGACCUUCUUUCUCUUGGCGAAGAACAACUUCAAUGCUUCUAUGAACACUAGAGAAUUUUGUGUUAGACCCCACAAUUCCUGUGGAUUCUUCAGGCCAAGCAACGGCAUGGCAGAGACCGUUGAAUCAUCAUCAGUAGCAGAACAAUUCUGAGUGGUCCCAUUUUGUUGAGACAGACUUUCAGGCAAGACUUCCUUACUGUAUAUAGGCCUAGGCCGUGUACGGUUUUUCCAAUAUAUAUAUUUCGAAAUAAAGAAAUUGAUUUUAAGUGUUUCAGUGGAUAUCUUUCUACAGUUUUUAUAUACUUAAAUACAGCAGUAAUAUAGAAUUAUACGGUUGUUGAGUUUAUCUUCUAAUUAUUCAUGUAAGAUAUUUGUGCUACCUAUUGUUGAUAUUUUUUAAAAGAAUUUGUAUUUUGGGGAUUUGUUUUGAAUACUCCUGUGUAAACGUAACAGACUCGUAUACAUAUGGAUCGUUCUUUUAUUGGUUAACGUGUGUUUGAUGUUAAAAUAUAUGUGAAGGAGGACGAUGGACAAGGAGGAAGGAGAAAGAAGGGCAUGAAAGACAAAAUCAAAGAGAAGUUAAGUGGUGGUAAGCACAAGGAUGAACAAACCCCCAGCACUGCCACAACUACUGGACCCACCACUACCACUGGAGCCGCCGCCGCCGACCAACACCAUGAGAAGAAGGGCAUUCUCGAGAAGAUCAAGGAGAAACUCCCCGGCCACCACAACCACCACCCGUGAAGACUGAAGUUGUUUUUCGAUUUCAUGAAUAAAUCGCUUGCUACCAAUGUAGAUAGUUUUUUUAAAUCAAUUAUGAAUGUCGUCUAGUAAAAGUCUGCUUGAUUUCUGGUUCAUUAGUGGUUUCCAGUUUGUGAACUUGUAUCAUGUUGCUGCUU
Molecule: long non-coding RNA, 3563 nt
Filed under: Brassica napus (rape)
Lineage: Eukaryota; Viridiplantae; Streptophyta; Magnoliopsida; Brassicales; Brassicaceae
Description: long non-coding RNA (BNAP_LNC008377)
Source: RNAcentral